UGGUAGUCCACGCCCUAAAACGAUGUCUACUAGUUGUCGGGUCUUAAUUGACUUGGUAACGCAGCUAACGCGUGAAGUAGACCGCCUGGGGAGUACGGUCGCAAGAUUAAAACUCAAAGGAAUUGACGGGGACCCGCACAAGCGGUGGACGAUGUGGAUUAAUUCGAUGCAACGCGAAAAACCUUACCUACCCUUGACAUGGAUGGAAUCCUGAAGAGAUUUGGGAGUGCUCGAAAGAGAACCAUCACACAGGUGCUGCAUGGCUGUCGUCAGCUCGUGUCGUGAGAUGUUGGGUUAAGUCCCGCAACGAGCGCAACCCUUGUCAUUAGUUGCUACGAAAGGGCACUCUAAUGAGACUGCCGGUGACAAACCGGAGGAAGGUGGGGAUGGCGUCAAGUCCUCAUGGCCCUUAUGGGUAGGGCUUCACACGUCAUACAAUGGUACAUACAGAGGGCCGCCAACCCGCGAGGGGGAGCUAAUCCCAGAAAGUGUAUCGUAGUCCGGAUUGGAGUCUGCAACUCGACUCCAUGAAGUUGGAAUCGCUAGUAAUCGCGGAUCAGCAUGUCGCGGUGAAUACGUUCCCGGGUCUUGUACACACCGCCCGUCACACCAUGGGAGCGGGUUUUACCAGAAGUGGGUAGCCUAACCGCAAGGAGGGCGCUCACCACGGUAGGAUUCGUGACUGGGGUGAAGUCGUAACAAGGUAGCCGUAAAGGGCAA
RNAcentral lists this ribosomal RNA (720 nucleotides) under uncultured bacterium. RNAcentral's name for it is "bacterial SSU rRNA". It matches the Rfam family "Bacterial small subunit ribosomal RNA", at positions 788 to 1510 of the family's 1533-position model. RNAcentral also lists the same sequence under 1 other name. The record is from RNAcentral.